This 305-nucleotide ribosomal RNA is filed under the name uncultured bacterium. RNAcentral's name for it is "bacterial SSU rRNA". It matches the Rfam family "Bacterial small subunit ribosomal RNA", at positions 336 to 657 of the family's 1533-position model. The record is from RNAcentral.
UUCCUACGGGGGGCAGCAGUCGGGAAUAUUGCGCAAUGGAGGAAACUCUGACGCAGUGACGCCGCGUAUAGGAAGAAGGUUUUCGGAUUGUAAACUAUUGUCGUUAGGGAAGAUAAAAGACUGUACCUAAGGAGGAAGCCCCGGCUAACUAUGUGCCAGCAGCCGCGGUAAUACGUAGGGGGCAAGCGUUAUCCGGAAUUACUGGGUGUAAAGGGAGCGUAGACGGUGAUGCAAGUCUGGAGUGAAAGGCGGGGGCCCAACCCCCGGACUGCUCUGGAAACUGUGUAACUUGAGUGCAGGAGAGG